RNAcentral lists this ribosomal RNA (491 nucleotides) under Marinovum algicola. RNAcentral describes it as "bacterial SSU rRNA". It matches the Rfam family "Bacterial small subunit ribosomal RNA", at positions 408 to 917 of the family's 1533-position model. Lineage: Bacteria; Pseudomonadati; Pseudomonadota; Alphaproteobacteria; Rhodobacterales; Roseobacteraceae. The record is from RNAcentral.
AUGAAGGCCUUAGGGUCGUAAAGCUCUUUCGCCAGGGAUGAUAAUGACAGUACCUGGUAAAGAAACCCCGGCUAACUCCGUGCCAGCAGCCGCGGUAAUACGGAGGGGGUUAGCGUUGUUCGGAAUUACUGGGCGUAAAGCGCGCGUAGGCGGAUCAGAAAGUUGGGGGUGAAAUCCCAGGGCUCAACCCUGGAACUGCCUCCAAAACUCCUGGUCUUGAGUUCGAGAGAGGUGAGUGGAAUUCCGAGUGUAGAGGUGAAAUUCGUAGAUAUUCGGAGGAACACCAGUGGCGAAGGCGGCUCACUGGCUCGAUACUGACGCUGAGGUGCGAAAGUGUGGGGAGCAAACAGGAUUAGAUACCCUGGUAGUCCACACCGUAAACGAUGAAUGCCAGUCGUCGGGUAGCAUGCUAUUCGGUGACACACCUAACGGAUUAAGCAUUCCGCCUGGGGAGUACGGUCGCAAGAUUAAAACUCAAAGGAAUUGACGGA